RNAcentral lists this ribosomal RNA (419 nucleotides) under uncultured bacterium. RNAcentral describes it as "bacterial SSU rRNA". It matches the Rfam family "Bacterial small subunit ribosomal RNA", at positions 355 to 772 of the family's 1533-position model. The record is from RNAcentral.
UAGGGAAUAUUGGUCAAUGGGUGCGAGCCUGAACCAGCCAUGCCGCGUGCAGGAAGACGGCCUUCUGGGUUGUAAACUGCUUUUGUCAGGGGAUAAAAAGACCUUGCGAGGUUAAUUGAAGGUACCUGGCGAAUAAGCCACGGCUAACUACGUGCCAGCAGCCGCGGUAAUACGUAGGUGGCAAGCGUUGUCCGGAUUUAUUGGGUUUAAAGGGUGCGUAGGCGGCCUUUUAAGUCAGUGCUGAAAUAUCCCGGCUUAACCGGGAGGGUGGCAUUGAUACUGAAGGGCUUGAGUGGAGUCGAGGUAGGCGGAAUUGACGGUGUAGCGGUGAAAUGCUUAGAUAUCGUCAAGAACACCGAUAGUGAAGACAGCUUACUAGACUUCAACUGACGCUGAGGCACGAAAGUGUGGGGAUCAAA